UGCAAGUCGAACGAUGAACCACUUCGGUGGGGAUUAGUGGCGAACGGGUGAGUAACACGUGGGCAAUCUGCCCUUCACUCUGGGACAAGCCCUGGAAACGGGGUCUAAUACCGGAUACGACCUGCCGAGGCAUCUCGGCGGGUGGAAAGCUCCGGCGGUGAAGGAUGAGCCCGCGGCCUAUCAGCUAGUUGGUGAGGUAACGGCUCACCAAGGCGACGACGGGUAGCCGGCCUGAGAGGGCGACCGGCCACACUGGGACUGAGACACGGCCCAGACUCCUACGGGAGGCAGCAGUGGGGAAUAUUGCACAAUGGGCGAAAGCCUGAUGCAGCGACGCCGCGUGAGGGAUGACGGCCUUCGGGUUGUAAACCUCUUUCAGCAGGGAAGAAGCGAAAGUGACGGUACCUGCAGAAGAAGCGCCGGCUAACUACGUGCCAGCAGCCGCGGUAAUACGUAGGGCGCAAGCGUUGUCCGGAAUUAUUGGGCGUAAAGAGCUCGUAGGCGGCUUGUCACGUCGGUUGUGAAAGCCCGGGGCUUAACCCCGGGUCUGCAGUCGAUACGGGCAGGCUAGAGUUCGGUAGGGGAGAUCGGAAUUCCUGGUGUAGCGGUGAAAUGCGCAGAUAUCAGGAGGAACACCGGUGGCGAAGGCGGAUCUCUGGGCCGAUACUGACGCUGAGGAGCGAAAGCGUG
This 690-nucleotide ribosomal RNA is filed under the name Streptomyces sp. qf10. RNAcentral describes it as "bacterial SSU rRNA". It matches the Rfam family "Bacterial small subunit ribosomal RNA", at positions 56 to 763 of the family's 1533-position model. RNAcentral also lists the same sequence under 1 other name. The record is from RNAcentral. Lineage: Bacteria; Bacillati; Actinomycetota; Actinomycetes; Kitasatosporales; Streptomycetaceae.